RNAcentral lists this ribosomal RNA (252 nucleotides) under uncultured bacterium. RNAcentral describes it as "partial 16S ribosomal RNA". It matches the Rfam family "Bacterial small subunit ribosomal RNA", at positions 524 to 776 of the family's 1533-position model. The record is from RNAcentral.
UACGAAGGUGGCAAGCGUUGUUCGGAUUUACUGGGCGUAAAGGGAGCGUAGGUGGUUAGGUAAGCCCUCCGGGAAAUCUUCAGGCUUAACCUGAAAAGGUCGGGGGGACUGCCUAGCUAGAGGGCGGGAGAGGAGCGCGGAAUUCCCGGUGUAGCGGUGAAAUGCGUAGAGAUCGGGAGGAAGGCCGGUGGCGAAGGCGGGUCUCUGGGCCAUUACUGACGCUGAGGAGCGAAAGCGUGGGGAGCGAACAGG